Pelobates cultripes (western spadefoot toad) is the source of this 208-nucleotide non-coding RNA. The record is from the annotation of a GenBank genome assembly. Lineage: Eukaryota; Metazoa; Chordata; Amphibia; Anura; Pelobatidae.
CAAAAAAGAAAAGGGAGAUGAAGGAUAACAGGACGUUUUUAAAGCUGGAUGAACAGACUCAUGAUUUGCAUAAAGGAUAAUGGAACAGAUUUCUUCUCAAAGGACAAUAGUCUUUAAAGGGAUUGGUUGUGAAGUCCUGAAGGUAUUCAAUUAGAUAUUCCAUUGAGAACUAAAUCUUCCAGUUACUAAUCAGCUUUUUAGAUGUAUG